This is a non-coding RNA of Nothobranchius furzeri (turquoise killifish), 1828 nucleotides long. NCBI's taxonomy places the organism in Eukaryota, Metazoa, Chordata, Actinopteri, Cyprinodontiformes, Nothobranchiidae. The record is from the annotation of a RefSeq genome assembly.
GUGGUUCCUGAGGACUGGAGUUGGGGAUCCCUGAUCUAGCAGCAAAACAGAAAAUAAGAAUUAGUAACAACUUUCUGUUAUUAAUAGUGAUUUAAGCUGUAUGCAGCCAUGGGAAUAGAUUACUAUUGGGACUGGAGCUGAAAUGAGAGCCCAUUAAAGAGGAAGUGUGCUGUAACUGAUGGCAAACUGACAUUAUUUUGUACAACGUAGACAUAAAAAUGAAAAAUCUCCUGAGAGAUGCUAAUAAAUAGUGCUGGGUGCCAGGUGGCUUUUAUAUUUUCUUGAUUCAAACAAAGGAAGUGUUUGUAGAAGAAACUCACUCCAGUCUAUCACUGUGAUGACUACUUUGACUACUGGGGAAAAGGAACAAUGGUGACGGUCACAUCAGAGACUUCAAAGCCUCCGGUUGUGUUUCCUCUGGUGCCAUGUGGCUCUGGGGGCAGUGACACGGUCACUCUCGGCUGCCUCGCCACCGGUUUUACCCCCUCGCCGCUGACUUUCACCUGGAAACUAGACAACACUGCUCUGACGGAUGUCAUCACAUACCCUUCAAUGCAGAAAGGCAGUGAAUACAUGGGGAUCACUCAAGUUCGAGUCAGAAGAGCGGACUGGGAUGCCAAAAAGCAAUUCCAAUGUGUCGCAAAUAACGCUGCAGGGGAAAGUACUGGUCAAGUUGUAAAGCAAAACGUGGUUUAUUUGGAGCCAACUGUUAGACUGUGUUCCUCCACUAACGAGGAGAAAAAAGAAGCUUACUUCUCCUGCUUUGCCAAAGACUUUUCACCUCAUAAUUAUGAGUUCAGAUGGCUGAAAGAUGAGGCGGAAAUCACCAGCUGGCAAGACCAGGUCAUUACUUCAUCUGCAGUGAGAAAUGACACGAAUGGAACCAUCCUGUACAGUGCAGUGAGUCUGCUCACACUCAAGACCGAAGGCUUGCACGAAACAACACUUAAAUGUGUGUUUAAGGGGAAAGGGGAAAACAACACUGCAGUUUUCCAGAAUGACAGCUUUUCCUACAGAGACGCAGCUCUACCUGUUGGGUGUAACAAAGCAGAUGUAAACAUAGAGAUCCUAGAACCCACAAACCAGGACAUGCUUGUAAAACAAGCAGGGAAAUUAAUAUGUAAAGUCAAGGCCAGUGGGGGGAACUAUGAGGUCUAUUGGGAGGACACCAAAGGAACAGAACUGGUGUCUGCUGUGAAAAACGGGAUAGCAGCACACACAUAUGAAGCUGUGCUUGACAUCACCUAUAAUGAAUGGAGUAAAGGGCUGGAGCGAAUCUGUGUCGUUCACGGUGAAAACCUCGUGGAUCCAUUGAAGAAGCUUUAUAAAAGGACAAGGGGAGCAUCGCUUCAGAGUCCAGCUGUCUUUUUGUUGCCUCCAGUAGAGCAAACUAGGAAAAACAUGGUGACCCUGACUUGCUAUGUGAAAGACUUCUCUCCUAAAGAGGUUUAUGUGGCUUGGCUUGUUGAUGAUAAGCCAGCAGUGCCAAAGUACCAAUUCCUGACCACAGAGCCAGUGUUGAGCAAUGGAAGCUACUCUGUUUACAGCCAGCUGACCCUCCCCCUAGCAGACUGGCACCAGACUGACGUGGUCUACAGCUGCACUGUUUACCACGAGUCUCUGAUUGGCUCAGUGGGAUCCAUCGUUAGAUCCAUUGGAUACAGAACCAAUGAAAACACCAACCUGGUCAACUUGAGCAUGAACAUCCCCAACAUGUGCAAGGCCCAGUAGAUGUGUCUCUGUGUCUUCUGUUCUCUGUUGUUUGUGAUCAUAUUGUGUUUGUGUUUUAAUGCAUAUUAAAAUCUAAAUAAAAAAAAAACAACAAUUA